Lycium barbarum (goji berry) is the source of this 1189-nucleotide long non-coding RNA. RefSeq lists it as uncharacterized. The transcript is spliced from 3 exons. Lineage: Eukaryota; Viridiplantae; Streptophyta; Magnoliopsida; Solanales; Solanaceae. The record is from RefSeq and is a predicted model, not a curated record.
ACCACCACUAAUUUAUUCACUUUUUUUAACUUCUAGUUCACUUAUAUUAUUCUUAUUUGUCCCCACUUUUUCCUUCUUUUUAUAAACUCUCCAUCUUCCUUUCCUUAGCCAUCCUUUAUUCCUAACUCCAAACAACAACAAAGUAACUUAACUCUUACAAAAAUGGCAUCAUAAGAGUUUGAGAAGAAGAACAGUACCAAUAUGUAUGUAGAACAAUCAGCACAAGGACUAGAAAAUGGAGAAGUUCAGAAAAAUGUUGAUGAUGAUGGGCGUGAAAAAAGAAAAGGGACUGUGCUAACGGCGAGUUCACAUAUAAUCACCGCGGUGAUUGGGUCAGGUGUGCUAUCACUAGCAUGGGCAACAACUCAGUUAGGAGUUCGACACUUUUGUAACAAAAAAAAUAAUAAUUUUGAAACCAAACUAACACAUUAAAAAAGAAGAAGAACCAAAUUAGGCUUCACGCACAGAUUCUGUGCGUGAAAGGGCCAAAGUGUACUUUUACAGUUUGGCCCUUUCACACACAGAAUCUGUGCGUGAAACCUUUCCCUAAAACCCCCGACCCCAACACAUGCAUUCUCUUUUCUUUCAUUUCCUCCAUCUUCACCCUUUCAACACACUUUUGCACUUUCAAAAACAUGUCUCAAAGUUUUGAAACUUCAAUGUUUGCUAUACAACCCGAUAUUUGUGAAUGUAGUUAUUACUGUAAACUAAAAACAUCAAAGACCCAAGAUAAUCCGAGUCACCGUUUUUGGCGUUGUAAAGUGCCCGAAGAUAUGGGCGGUUGCAAACACUUUCGGUGGGAAGAUAGCAUUCACGUGGAUAAAAUAGUGGCGGCGAAGUUUAAAAAUUCACUCUUGGUUAGAGAUACCGCGACUUCACGUAUCUCUAGAGAUACCGCUAAGUUGGACUAGCAAUUUAAUCUUGUGGAAGCUGAAGAAAAAAUUGAACGUUUGGAGGUGUUGCUCACCGAUUCCGAAAAAAAAUGAAUUUUGCUGAAGACUAAACUUAGAGAGGCUCAACAUGAGAAAAUAGCUUUGAAAGAAAAACUUAAAUUGUGGAAGAUUAUUUGUGCUAUCUUGUUGUUGUUCAUUAUUUAUAUGUAUUUUGUUUAUUAAGUUUAAUAUUUCUAUGGAUUAUGUUUUUUACUAGUUGUACCUUUUCCCCUAUAAUGUAAUCCGCACCCUUUAUG